Molecule: ribosomal RNA, 1503 nt
Filed under: Escherichia coli
Lineage: Bacteria; Pseudomonadati; Pseudomonadota; Gammaproteobacteria; Enterobacterales; Enterobacteriaceae
Description: partial 23S ribosomal RNA
Rfam family: Bacterial large subunit ribosomal RNA
Source: RNAcentral
UCUAGCCAUGGGCAGGUUGAAGGUUGGGUAACACUAACUGGAGGACCGAACCGACUAAUGUUGAAAAAUUAGCGGAUGACUUGUGGCUGGGGGUGAAAGGCCAAUCAAACCGGGAGAUAGCUGGUUCUCCCCGAAAGCUAUUUAGGUAGCGCCUCGUGAAUUCAUCUCCGGGGGUAGAGCACUGUUUCGGCAAGGGGGUCAUCCCGACUUACCAACCCGAUGCAAACUGCGAAUACCGGAGAAUGUUAUCACGGGAGACACACGGCGGGUGCUAACGUCCGUCGUGAAGAGGGAAACAACCCAGACCGCCAGCUAAGGUCCCAAAGUCAUGGUUAAGUGGGAAACGAUGUGGGAAGGCCCAGACAGCCAGGAUGUUGGCUUAGAAGCAGCCAUCAUUUAAAGAAAGCGUAAUAGCUCACUGGUCGAGUCGGCCUGCGCGGAAGAUGUAACGGGGCUAAACCAUGCACCGAAGCUGCGGCAGCGACACUAUGUGUUGUUGGGUAGGGGAGCGUUCUGUAAGCCUGUGAAGGUGGCCUGUGAGGGUUGCUGGAGGUAUCAGAAGUGCGAAUGCUGACAUAAGUAACGAUAAAGCGGGUGAAAAGCCCGCUCGCCGGAAGACCAAGGGUUCCUGUCCAACGUUAAUCGGGGCAGGGUGAGUCGACCCCUAAGGCGAGGCCGAAAGGCGUAGUCGAUGGGAAACAGGUUAAUAUUCCUGUACUUGGUGUUACUGCGAAGGGGGGACGGAGAAGGCUAUGUUGGCCGGGCGACGGUUGUCCCGGUUUAAGCGUGUAGGCUGGUUUUCCAGGCAAAUCCGGAAAACCAAGGCUGAGGCGUGAUGACGAGGCACUACGGUGCUGAAGCGACAAAUGCCCUGCUUCCAGGAAAAGCCUCUAAGCAUCAGGUAACAUCAAAUCGUACCCCAAACCGACACAGGUGGUCAGGUAGAGAAUACCAAGGCGCUUGAGAGAACUCGGGUGAAGGAACUAGGCAAAAUGGUGCCGUAACUUCGGGAGAAGGCACGCUGAUAUGUAGGUGAAGCGACUUGCUCGUGGAGCUGAAAUCAGUCGAAGAUACCAGCUGGCUGCAACUGUUUAUUAAAAACACAGCACUGUGCAAACACGAAAGUGGACGUAUACGGUGUGACGCCUGCCCGGUGCCGGAAGGUUAAUUGAUGGGGUUAGCGGCAACGCGAAGCUCUUGAUCGAAGCCCCGGUAAACGGCGGCCGUAACUAUAACGGUCCUAAGGUAGCGAAAUUCCUUGUCGGGUAAGUUCCGACCUGCACGAAUGGCGUAAUGAUGGCCAGGCUGUCUCCACCCGAGACUCAGUGAAAUUGAACUCGCUGUGAAGAUGCAGUGUACCCGCGGCAAGACGGAAAGACCCCGUGAACCUUUACUAUAGCUUGACACUGAACAUUGAGCCUUGAUGUGUAGGAUAGGUGGGAGGCUUUGAAGUGUGGACGCCAGUCUGCAUGGAGCCGACCUUGAAAUACCACCCUUUAAUGU